Suricata suricatta (meerkat) is the source of this 558-nucleotide long non-coding RNA. RefSeq lists it as uncharacterized. Lineage: Eukaryota; Metazoa; Chordata; Mammalia; Carnivora; Herpestidae. The record is from RefSeq and is a predicted model, not a curated record. The transcript is spliced from 4 exons.
UCCGUUAUUUCCUGCUUGAUCUUGGCCUCCAUACUCAGGGGCAGCAGGGCCUCGAUGAUGCUGUCUUGCUCCAGCUGCGUCUUCAUCUCAGCCUGGCUAGGCAGCUCCACCCGGGGCUGCUGCAGGAAGAGCUGCGCAGCAGUGUCUGGCUGGGCGCCAGCCUGGGCCUGCAGCAGGAGCUGGAGCCCCCUGCUUGCUGACUCCUCUUCCUGGACUGAAUAAGGAAGACCACAGAGCACCUUACAUGUUACACCGAUCCCGAGGGUAUCUCAGAGAAGCACUGAAACCUGGAUUCUUCUCUGGAAAUAGAUAACGGAAUGACCUGCAAGGCAGCUGAGCUCAUCAUCCUCUCGCGCUGAAAGAAAGAAGUGCCAAGUACGUAAUGAAAUACUGUCAAGUGAAAUGGGAUGCCUGGGAUUUGUUUUGCAACCAUCUGGGAUGGGGGAAGGGUGUGUGAGAGGGUCACAACACUGUGCUCUCUACUUGUGCAUAUAUUUGAAAUGUUCCUGAUGUUUAAAAGAGAGACACCUCUAAUUACAAAUGGCUAAUGAGAGCGGA